UGGGGUGGCGAUGGCGGAGGGGUCACACCUCUUCCCAUUCCGAACAGAGAAGUUAAGCCCUCCAGCGCCGAUGGUACUGCCCGGGAAACUGGGUGGGAGAGUAGGACGCCGCCCCUU
RNAcentral lists this ribosomal RNA (117 nucleotides) under Candidatus Eiseniibacteriota bacterium. Lineage: Bacteria; Candidatus Eiseniibacteriota. The record is from RNAcentral.